AGUUUGAUUCUGGCUCGAUUGAACGCUGGCGGGAUGCUUUACACAUGCAAGUCGAGCGGCAGCACAGACUUCGGUCUGGUGGCGAGUGGCGAACGGGUGGUAAUGUAUCCGGAACGUGCCUAGUAGCGGGGGAUAACUACGCGAAAGCGUAGCUAAUACCGCAUACGCCCUUCGGGGGAAAGCGGGGACCUUCGGGCCUCGCACUAUUAGAGCGGCCGAUAUCGGAUUAGCUAGUUGGUGGGGUAACGGCUCGCAAGGCGACGAUCCGUAGCUGGUUUGAGAGGACGACCAGCCACACUGAGACUGAGACACGGCCCAGACUCCUACGGGAGGCAGCAGUGGGGAAUUUUGGACAAUGGGGGAAACCCUGAUCCAGCCAUCCCGCGUGUGCGAUGAAGGCCUUUCGGGUUGUAAAGCACUUUUGGCAGAAAGAAACGGCACGGGAUAUUACCCCGUGCAACUGACGGUACCUGCAGAAUAAGCACCGGCUAACUACGUGCCAGCAGCCGCGGUAAUACGUAGGGUGCAAGCGUUAAUCGGAAUUACUGGUCGUAAAGCGUGCGCAGGUGGUUCGGAAAAGAAAGAUGUGAAAUCCCAGAGCUUAACUUUGGAACUGCAUUUUUAACUACCGAGCUAGAAAUUGUGUCAGAGAGUGGAAUUCCGCGUGUAGCAGUGAAAUGCGUGAUAUGCGGAGGAACACCGAUGGCGAAGGCAGCCUCUGGGAUAACACUGACGCUCAUGCACGAAAGCGUGGGAGCAAACAGGAUUAGAUACCCUGGUAGUCCCCGCCCUAAACGGUGUUAAACUAGCUGUUGGGGCCUUCGGGCCUUGGUAGCGCAGCUAACGCGUGAAGUUGACCGCCUGAGAAUUACGGUCGCAAGAUUAAAACUCAAAGGAAUUGACGGGGACCCGCACAAGCGGUGGAUGAUGUGGAUUAAUUCGAUGCGCGAAAAACCUUACCUACCCUUGACAUGUCUGGAAUCCGAAGAGAUUUGGGAGUGCUCGCAAGAGAACCAGGAACACAGGUGCUGCAUGGCUGUCGAAGUAGCUCGUGUUGAGAUGUUGGGUUAAGUCCCGCAACUGAGCGCAACCCUUGUCAUUAGUUGCUGAAAAGGGCACUCUAAUGAGACUGCCGGUGACAAACCGGAGGAAGGUGGGGAUAGCGUCAAGUCCUCAUGGCCCAUAUGGGUAGGGCUUCACACGUCAUACAAUGAGGUGGGACAGAGGGUCGCCAACCCGCGAGGGGAGCCAAUCCCGAGAAGCCGGUCGUAGUCCGGAUGCGGUCUGCAACUCCUGACUGCGUGAAGUCGGAAUCGCUGGUAAUCGCGGAUCAGCAUGUCGCGGUGAAUACGUUCCGGGUCUUGUACACCGCCCGUCACACCAUGGGAGUGGGUUUUCAGUAGUUAGCCUAACCGUAGGGAGGCGUUACCCGCAGUAGGAUUCAUGACUGGGGUGAAGGGCGGUGUGUACAGACCCGGGAACGUAUUCACGCGACAUGCUGAUCCGCGAUUACUGGCGAUUCCGACUUCCCGCAGUCAGUUGCAGACUGCGAUCCGGACUGAUCGGGUUUCUGGGAUUGGCUCCCCCUCGCGAUUAACUCCCGACCGAUGGCGUGAAGCCCUACCAUAAAGGGCCAUGAACUUGACGUCAUCCCGCCUCCGGUUUGUGUCGAGUGCCGCCACUCGCAAUAACUCGGCACUAAUGACAAGAGUUACGCGCUCGUUGACACCCAAUAACCUCUCGCAUUUUGUGACGACAAUAUGCAGCCACCUAUGUUCCAGUGCUGCGAAGCAAAUCUAAGUUCCAGACGAUAUCAAAAGAGGCAGAUUUGUCGCCUUGCAUCAAAUAAUCCAUCAUCAUAAAGCGAGUACUACAGUUUAAUCUUGCGUUAUACUCCCAGACUAGCUACGCUACCAGGCAUCAGCUUUAACUAGUUGACGUCGUUUGGCGUGGACUACCAGGGGUAUCUAAUUUGUUUGCUCCCCGCGCUUUCGUCCCAUGGCGUCAGUCAAAUUUGCGAGCUCAAGCCAUCGGUCACUCCGCGCAUAUCUACGCAUUCCGCAUCACAUAUUAUUCAUUUGAGUUCAGAAAUUCUUUUUUGGUUCAA
RNAcentral lists this unclassified non-coding RNA (2107 nucleotides) under uncultured Bordetella sp. RNAcentral's name for it is "partial 16S-23S ribosomal RNA intergenic spacer". The stretch from base 1 to 1497 matches the Rfam family "Bacterial small subunit ribosomal RNA". The record is from RNAcentral. Lineage: Bacteria; Pseudomonadati; Pseudomonadota; Betaproteobacteria; Burkholderiales; Alcaligenaceae.